GUUCUACAGGGAAAGGUGGUGCAUGCCUAUAUUCUCAACUUCUUGGGAGACUGAGCCAGGGGCAUUGCUUGAGCCAAGGAUUUCUAAGAUGUAGUGUGUCAUGCCGGUCAGAUGUCCACACUAAGUUUUUCAUCAGUGUGGUGACCUCCCGUGAGCAGGAGACUACCAGGUGGCUCAAAGAAGGGAACUAUCCCAGGUCAGAAAUGAAGCGGUCAAAACUCUCAUGCUGAUCCAUAGUGGGAUCGCACCUGUGAAUAGUCACAAUAGUCACUGCAUUCCAGCCUGGAUAACAUAACGAUACCCUGUGUCU
RNAcentral lists this signal recognition particle RNA (310 nucleotides) under Piliocolobus tephrosceles (Ugandan red Colobus). RNAcentral's name for it is "Metazoan signal recognition particle RNA (ENSPTEG00000003772.1)". It matches the Rfam family "Metazoan signal recognition particle RNA". Rfam says of the family: The signal recognition particle (SRP) is a universally conserved ribonucleoprotein. It is involved in the co-translational targeting of proteins to membranes. The record is from RNAcentral. Lineage: Eukaryota; Metazoa; Chordata; Mammalia; Primates; Cercopithecidae.